UGGGGAAUCUUCCGCAAUGGGCGAAAGCCUGACGGAGCAAUGCCGCGUGAGUGAAGAAGGCCUUCGGGUUGUAAAACUCUGUCCUUAUCGAAGAGAGGUGGGUAUGUGAAUAAUGUACUCAUAGGACGGUAGAUAAGGAGGAAGCCCCGGCUAACUACGUGCCAGCAGCCGCGGUAAUACGUAGGGGGCGAGCGUUGUCCGGAACCACUGGGCGUAAAGGGCGCGUACGCGGUUUAAUAAGUCAGUGGUGAAAACUGAGGGCUCAACCCUCAGCCUGCCACUGAUACUGUUAGACUUGAGUAUGGAAGAGGAGAAUGGAAUUCCUAGUGUAGCGGUGAAAUGCGUAGAUAUUAGGAGGAACACCAGUGGCGAAGGCGAUUCUCUGGGCCAAGACUGACGCUGAGGCGCGAAAGCGUGGGGAGCAAACAGGAUUAGAUACCC
This 441-nucleotide ribosomal RNA is filed under the name uncultured bacterium. RNAcentral describes it as "bacterial SSU rRNA". It matches the Rfam family "Bacterial small subunit ribosomal RNA", at positions 355 to 787 of the family's 1533-position model. The record is from RNAcentral.